CCGUAGGCCAACAUGCUGCGUCUGUACCUCACUUGCAUCCGCAACACUCUGGAGGCCGCCAUGUGCCUGCAGAAUUUCCCUUGCCAAGAGGUCGAGAGGCACAACAAACCGGAGGUGGAGCUCAAGACUAGCCCUGAACUUCUGCUGAAUCCGGUAAGAGAGACUCUCCA
Molecule: long non-coding RNA, 170 nt
Organism: Hordeum vulgare subsp. vulgare (domesticated barley)
Lineage: Eukaryota; Viridiplantae; Streptophyta; Magnoliopsida; Poales; Poaceae
Exons: 3
Source: RefSeq, a predicted model, not a curated record